This 270-nucleotide signal recognition particle RNA is filed under the name Thermotogota bacterium. Its description in RNAcentral is "Thermotogae bacterium signal recognition particle sRNA large type". It matches the Rfam family "Archaeal signal recognition particle RNA". Lineage: Bacteria; Thermotogati; Thermotogota. The record is from RNAcentral.
GGGGGCCAACGGCUGGGGAGGCACCAGUUCCCUGUAACCGCAAAUCUGGUAAUGGCGGAGCCGCAGUCCCAGGGCGGUAUGGACCUGUAAACCAGUCCAUUUACUUAACUAUGAAACUCUGCCCCCAUGGAUUCAGUUAUCUGUGAAUCCCCCAGGGUGGGAACACCGCAAGGGUAAGCAGGUAGCUGGGUGCUAUGGGGAAAACAGAGUAGAGGAGGGUAAAUGGGUUCAACUGGUUUAUAGGUUUAUAUCCACCUGGGACAUGCCCCC